GUGUUUGUUUGGGGAGCAUAUACACUAAAAUUGGAACAAUGCAGAGAUUAGCAUGGCCCCUGAGCAAAGGACGACAUACAAAUUCAUAAAAUGUUCCAGAUAUAU
Molecule: small nuclear RNA, 105 nt
Organism: Vombatus ursinus (common wombat)
Lineage: Eukaryota; Metazoa; Chordata; Mammalia; Diprotodontia; Vombatidae
Source: Ensembl